UACGUAGGGGCUAGCGUUAUCCGGAAUUACUGGGCGUAAAGGGCGUGUAGGUGGACUGAUCAGUCGGGUGUGAAAUAUCCAGGCUCAACCUGGAGGGUGCAUCCGAUACGGUCAGUCUUGAGUGCAGGAGAGGAGAAUGGAAUUCCUAGUGUAGCGGUGAAAUGCGUAGAGAUUAGGAAGAACACCAGUGGCGAAGGCGAUUCUCUGGACUGUAACUGACGCUGAGGCUCGAAAGCGUGGGGAGCAAACAGGAUUAGA
This 258-nucleotide ribosomal RNA is filed under the name uncultured prokaryote. RNAcentral's name for it is "partial 16S ribosomal RNA". It matches the Rfam family "Bacterial small subunit ribosomal RNA", at positions 524 to 782 of the family's 1533-position model. The record is from RNAcentral.